Molecule: long non-coding RNA, 1620 nt
Organism: Triticum aestivum (bread wheat)
Lineage: Eukaryota; Viridiplantae; Streptophyta; Magnoliopsida; Poales; Poaceae
Exons: 5
Source: RefSeq, a predicted model, not a curated record
UCCUGGGCACCAAGACAAUCACCCACCGCUAUUCUGGACAUGGGCAUGAAUAAGAGACACUCUGCCGAGAAUAGCGUCCUACACGGGGCCAGGCUAUUCUGUACACCUUUGGCAACCUGGACAUGAAUAAGAGACACUCUGCCGAGAAGGAAGCACCCCGAUGUUUUCCUCCGGCUCCUAUUUAUCCAAUGAGUAAAUACUUGCUCUUUUUUGACGAGAACAGCAGGAGCUCUGCCUUUGCAUUAUAGGAGAAAAAGAGGGUACAAGUCAUACAACGCUGGGCCGAGGCCCCAAGUCUAGAAACAGGUCAUAUACACAGGCCUACAUCCGAAAACACAAAAAAUUGCUACGGGAGCCCCAUAUCACUCGCCUUGCUCUUCAGCCAAGUAACUUGCCAAGGACUGCACUACUUUGUGAAAAACUCUGUUUCCUUGUUUGUUUUUUCGUUUCCUACUUUGUUCCUUUGUUGUUUCCUGUUAAACUCUGUUGUGUUAUGCUAAUAGGUUGACAAGGAUGAGGAUCCUUACCAGAAUGAGAGGAGGUGGCUCGGUGGUAAUGGCGAAAAGGAAGAAGGCGGCCCGGAACCAGGGCAGGAAUCGUGCGGGCAUGGAGGCGGAGGCGGAGGGUUCAGCUAGGCGCGCGCCCCACUUCCACGGACACGGCGCCCCCUUUGACGUCCGCCGCGGCCAAGAAAACGGAGCCCACCUUGGGGGCGCCCGCCCCGGCCAAGAAGCUAUCCCACCCAUGGCACAACACAGAAGAUUGUUGAGCUCCUACGCCGGGCAGCGGCUUUCCUGGGGAGGAACGGCAGCGCCGGCGACGACACAUCCUCCACUAGCGCCGGCAACGGCGGCGUGGAGGCUCUGGUGGGCGAACGCUCGCGGGAUCAGCUUCCUGGGCACCAAGACAAUCACGCACCGCCCAAGCGUCCUACACGGGGUCAGGCUAUUCUCUACACCUUUGGCAACCUGGACAUGAAUAAGAGACACUCUGCCGAGAAGGAAGCGCCCCGAUGUUUUCCUCCGGCUCCUAUUUUACCCAGUUGACAAGGAUGAGGAUACUUACCAGAAUGAGAGGAGGUAUGAAGAGUUUUGUGAAGCUAGAAUGAAGCUUCCACUUGGAUAUGAGUUGUGCACUGUAUGUUUUUAAUUUGAAGAGCCCUGGAGACAUGGAAAUGCAGUAGUACGUUCUGGGAAUAUGCUCUCUCAUUUCAAUUGCCACAACACUCCAGGUGUCAAAUGUGGUGAAGAAUUAUGUACGGUUAGGUUCCGCAGCUGUGAACAUCAGCAGUUAUACAGAUCCUAUUGCACAAGUAUUUGGGAGACCAAGCCAAAGUUGCGGUAUGACAGGUUUUGUCGAGGUAGGGUGUAGUAACAAUCUGUUUGGAAGAUUCGCAGCAGCUAAAGGUGUCUGCAAGUAUGGCCUGAGAUUGAAGAACCACAUGGUGUGCUAAUAAAAGCUACAAAGAGAUGAACUAUUGUAUGCUUUUGUUGGAUGAUGGGUUGACAUGUCGUGUGAGAGUGAUGUCAAAUGACAAACUGUGAGCCUAGUGCGAUCAUGUUGUUGAGAAAAUGGUUUUCUUGGAUGAUGUUCUGCAGCUACUGUGGAAGUUAUAUUUAC